Molecule: long non-coding RNA, 215 nt
Filed under: Lathyrus oleraceus (garden pea)
Lineage: Eukaryota; Viridiplantae; Streptophyta; Magnoliopsida; Fabales; Fabaceae
Description: Pisum sativum (pea) long non-coding RNA (PSAT_LNC040317)
Source: RNAcentral
AAAUUGGUACAGAACACCCGUCGACUCAUCGAACCAUGGUAUCAACCUCCCAAUCUCGUAUCAGCUUUCCACUUUUGAGAAUUCCCAGACUCGUCUGGACCUUUUCUGCUCCAAAAUUGGUACAGAACACCCGUCGACUCAUCGAACCAUGGUAUCAACCUCCCAAUCUCGUAUCAGCUUUCCACUUUUGAGAAUUCCCAGACUCGUCUGGACCU